AGAACGAACGCUGGCGGCAUGCCUAAUACAUGCAAGUCGAACGAACACUUCGGUGUUAGUGGCGCACGGGUGCGUAACGCGUGGGAAUCUGCCCUUGGGUUCGGAAUAACAGUUGGAAACGACUGCUAAUACCGGAUGAUAUCGAAAGAUCAAAGAUUUAUCGCCCAGGGAUGAGCCCGCGUAGGAUUAGCUAGUUGGUGAGGUAAAGGCUCACCAAGGCGACGAUCCUUAGCUGGUCUGAGAGGAUGAUCAGCCACACUGGGACUGAGACACGGCCCAGACUCCUGCGGA
This 291-nucleotide ribosomal RNA is filed under the name uncultured soil bacterium. Its description in RNAcentral is "partial 16S ribosomal RNA". It matches the Rfam family "Bacterial small subunit ribosomal RNA", at positions 26 to 345 of the family's 1533-position model. The record is from RNAcentral.